UUAGAGAACAGCUUUUGUCUGUGAGCAGUUGCACCACGCACUCCAGGUCGUUUCCAGAGUGCUUCCCUCCCUGCAGCAUUACCCCUGGGGCUGAGAGUUGCUCUUCCCUGUUGAGGGUGGGCAGAAGCUGACAUAGCAGAGAAUGGCUGUAGAGUUCUCCCUGGAUAGAGUGUAGGAGGAGCUGGAUGGAGGCGGCUGGGAAGGCUCUUGGUGGGAGUUGUUGCUGCUGGUGGACUGAGGCGAUGGUCUCAUUUUUCCCUUCCUUGGCUUCCUAAGGUGGGCAGUCCCUGGGGUGUUCUGCUGUACUGCUGAUGCUCAGCAUACGGAAGCCGAGAAACGGAUGUAUGCGAUGAGAGCGGCUCUGACGAUCAUCUGCCAAACCGUGGGCAGCACCAGGAGGAGCACCCCGUGUCUGCUGGCUCUCCGUAGCCCAUCCUGGGCACUGCAGCCUCCCUUCUGCUGCACACGGUGUGAUUCAUAAUGCAGCAGCUCUGCUGUAAGCUGGCUGCCUCUUUGUGAGCUGUCGCUGCUGCAGCAGAGAAAAGCAUUUGAGCUCAGGCAACAAAUAGACUGUGCAUGUCUAGCAAAUAGUCAGAACUCCAGAAACAGUACUUAACAGAUGAUCUUAUCUUGGGAUAAUCUCAUAAAGUGUACUGACUGGUUAAAAGUAGGCUUUGAAGUUUGCGGCAAACAUUUCAAAUCUUUGCCCUUUGUGAUCGUGGGCUUUUUGUUUGUUGUUUCCUCCAUUGUCUAUACAAAAAUACCACUUCAGUUAUUCUUUUCGAUAGGCUGUGUUCUAGCCUUUCUGGAAAAGUACCAAAUUAUUAAUGGGUGUUUGUUGCUUUUAGUUGUGCUUCUCAGUUCUAACGCUAUUCCUGCUAUUUGCAGUAUGUUUAGGCUAUGUUUAGGCACAUGCAAAUGUAAGUGGUUAUUCAGCGCCUUUGGUGUUCUGAACAGAACGUCCUGAACUCCCAUGGCUCCUUACAAAGCCUCAGCCUCCAGCACUAACAAAGCCUGUGACGGCAGUAG
Meleagris gallopavo (turkey) is the source of this 1029-nucleotide non-coding RNA. The record is from RefSeq and is a predicted model, not a curated record. NCBI's taxonomy places the organism in Eukaryota, Metazoa, Chordata, Aves, Galliformes, Phasianidae.